GUGCCAGCAGCCGCGGUAAUACGGAAGGUCCGGGCGUUAUCCGGAUUUAUUGGGUUUAAAGGGAGCGCAGGCUGUCGUUUAAGCAUGCUGUGAAAUGUAGGCGCUCAACGUCUGCACUGCAGCGUGAACUGGAUGACUUGAGUACGCGGGAAGUAGGCGGAAUUCGUCGUGUAGCGGUGAAAUGCUUAGAUAUGACGAAGAACUCCGAUUGCGAAGGCAGCUUACUGUAGCGCAACUGACGCUAAAGCUCGAAAGUGCGGGUAUCGAACAGGAUUAGAUACCCUGGUAGUCCGCACGGUAAACGAUGGAUGCUCGCUGUUAGCCUAUAUGGUUAGUGGCCAAGCGAAAGCAUUAAGCAUCCCACCUGGGGAGUACGCCGGCAACGGUGAAACUCAAAGGAAUUGACGGGGGCCCGCACAAGCGGAGGAACAUGUGGUUUAAUUCGAUGAUACGCGAGGAACCUUACCCGGGCUUGAACUGCAGGAGAACGAUACAGAGAUGUUGAGGUCCUUCGGGACUCCUGUGGAGGUGCUGCAUGGUUGUCGUCAGCUCGUGCCGUGAGGUGUCGGCUUAAGUGCCAUAACGAGCGCAACCCCUUUCCUUAGUUGCCAUCAGGUUAUGCUGGGCACUCUGGGGAUACUGCCACCGUAAGGUGUGAGGAAGGUGGGGAUGACGUCAAAUCAGCACGGCCCUUACGUCCGGGGCUACACACGUGUUACAAUGGCGCAUACAGAGAGCCGGUCUAUGGCAACAUAGAUCAAAUCCUUAAAAUGCGUCGUAGUUCGGAUUGGGUCUGCAACCCGACCCCAUGAAGCUGGAUUCGCUAGUAAUCGCGUAUCAGCCAUGGCGCGGUGAAUACGUUCCCGGGCCUUGUACACACCGCCCGU
This 887-nucleotide ribosomal RNA is filed under the name uncultured bacterium. RNAcentral's name for it is "bacterial SSU rRNA". It matches the Rfam family "Bacterial small subunit ribosomal RNA", at positions 505 to 1397 of the family's 1533-position model. The record is from RNAcentral.